GACGAACGCUGGCGGCGUGCUUAACACAUGCAAGUCGAGCGACGCUCUUCCUUCGGGGAGAUGACGGAGCGGCGAACGGGUGAGUAACACGUGGGCAACCUGCCCCUAGCUCUGGGACAACACCGGGAAACCGGUGCUAAUACCGGAUACGACAUCGAGCGGCAUCUCUCGAUGUGGAAAGUUUUUUCGGCUAGGGAUGGGCCCGCGGCCUAUCAGCUUGUUGGUGGGGUAAUGGCCCACCAAGGCGACGACGGGUAGCCGGCCUGAGAGGGCGACCGGCCACACCGGGACUGAGACACGGCCCAGACUCCUACGGGAGGCAGCAGUGGGGAAUAUUGCGCAAUGGGCGAAAGCCUGACGCAGCGACGCCGCGUGAGGGAUGACGGCCUUCGGGUUGUAAACCUCUUUCAGCAGGGACGAAUUCAGACGGUACCUGCAGAAGAAGCACCGGCCAACUACGUG
Molecule: ribosomal RNA, 462 nt
Filed under: uncultured bacterium
Lineage: Bacteria
Description: partial 16S ribosomal RNA
Rfam family: Bacterial small subunit ribosomal RNA
Source: RNAcentral